RNAcentral lists this ribosomal RNA (253 nucleotides) under uncultured bacterium. RNAcentral's name for it is "partial 16S ribosomal RNA". It matches the Rfam family "Bacterial small subunit ribosomal RNA", at positions 524 to 776 of the family's 1533-position model. The record is from RNAcentral.
UACGGAGGGUGCGAGCGUUAAUCGGAAUUACUGGGCGUAAAGGGCGCGUAGGCGGUGGGUUACGUCUGCCAUGAAAUCCCCGGGCUCAACCUGGGAAUGGCGGUUGAAACGGGCGGACUAGAGUAUGGGAGAGGGUGGUGGAAUUCCAGGUGUAGAGGUGAAAUGCGUAGAUAUUUGGAAGAACACCAGUGGCGAAGGCGGUUAACUGGACCGAUACUGACGCUGAGGUGCGAAAGCGUGGGGAGCAAACAGG